Molecule: ribosomal RNA, 676 nt
Filed under: uncultured Acidobacteriota bacterium
Lineage: Bacteria; Pseudomonadati; Acidobacteriota
Description: bacterial SSU rRNA
Rfam family: Bacterial small subunit ribosomal RNA
Source: RNAcentral
CGAAAGCUUCCUUCGGGGAACGAGUAAAGUGGCGCACGGGUGAGUAACACGUUGGUAAUCUACCUUUGGAUGGGGAAUAACAACCGGAAACGGUCGCUAAUACCGCAUAAUGCAGCGGCACCUAAUGGUGACAGUUGUUAAAGCGGGGGAUCGGAAGACCUCGCGUCUAAAGAGGAGCCUGCGGCGGAUUAGCUAGUUGGUAAGGUAACGGCUUACCAAGGCGAUGAUCCGUAGCCGGCCUGAGAGGGCGGUCGGCCACACUGACACUGACAUACGGGUCAGACUCCUACGGGAGGCAGCAGUCGGGAAUUUUGGGCAAUGGGCGAAAGCCUGACCCAGCAACGCCGCGUGAAGGAUGAAAUCCUUCGGGAUGUAAACUUCGCAAGAACGGGAAGAAUAAGUAGGGGUUAAUAUCUCUUACGAUGACGGUACUGUUUGUAAGCUCCGGCUAACUCCGUGCCAGCAGCCGCGGUGAUACGUAGGGUGCAAGCGUUAAUCGGAAUUACUGGGCGUAAAGGGUUUGUAGGCGGCUUUGCAAGUCGGGUGUGAAAUCCCUCAGCUCAACUGAGGAAAGUGCGCCCGAAACUGCAGAGCUUGAGUACCGGAGAGGAUGGUGGAAUUCCCCAAGUAGAGGUGAAAUUCGUAGAUAUGGGGAGGAACACCGGUGGCGAAGGCG